GUACACGCUGUGACUAGCAUAUCAAUAAGCGGAGGAAAAGAAACUAACAAGGAUUCCCCUAGUAACGGCGAGUGAAGCGGGAAGAGCUCAAAUUUGAAAUCUUAAAGGGUUUCCCCUUACGAAUUGUAGUUUAAAGAAGAGUUUUCUGUUGAGGUUUUGGUAAAAGUUCUUUGGAAUAGGACAUCAUAGAGGGUGAGAAUCCCGUAUUUGACCAUUACUUUCAACUUUGUGAUACACUUUCAAAGAGUCGGAUUGUUUGGGAAUGCAGUCCAAAAUGGGUGGUAAAUUUCAUCUAAAGCUAAAUAUUGGCGAGAGACCGAUAGCGAACAAGUACCGUGAGGGAAAGAUGAAAAGAACUUUGAAAAGAGAGUUAAACAGUACGUGAAAUUGUCAAAAGGGAAGCGUUUGACACCAGUGUUGUUUUUCUGAAAAUCAAUUAAAGAACUGUUUAUGCUAAGUUGUUUAGACUUUAUCAGCUAACUGUUUAGUUUUGAGCUUUUCUUUAAUGCACUUUUCAGUUAACAAGUCAACAUCAAUUUCUUUUGCUGUAAAAAAGCUUGAGGAAGGUGGCUUGAGAUUCGUCUUAAGUGUUUAUAGCCUCUUGCCUAUGCAGUCGGAGAGAUUGAGGUCUGCAGCGUAGAUCCUUCGGGGCUAAAUGCAUUUGUGCUAAGUUAUAGCAUUUUAUAGACAACUUGUUGACUAUGAUUUGUCUCGUAGCUUACUCGCUUAUGUUAUUUUACCUACGCUUAGGAUGUUGAGUCGUAGAGCACGCAG
This 774-nucleotide ribosomal RNA is filed under the name uncultured Neocallimastigales. Its description in RNAcentral is "partial large subunit ribosomal RNA". It matches the Rfam family "Eukaryotic large subunit ribosomal RNA", at positions 22 to 628 of the family's 3401-position model. The record is from RNAcentral. Lineage: Eukaryota; Fungi; Neocallimastigomycota; Neocallimastigomycetes; Neocallimastigales.